Molecule: RNA transcript, 2354 nt
Organism: Tripterygium wilfordii
Lineage: Eukaryota; Viridiplantae; Streptophyta; Magnoliopsida; Celastrales; Celastraceae
Gene name: transcription termination factor MTERF15, mitochondrial-like
Exons: 2
Source: RefSeq, a predicted model, not a curated record
UAUACAACUUAACAUGAUUUUUCACAGCCGAGAAAGUAAAAAAAAAUUUACAAUAAAAAAUUGAUGAUGUAAAUUUAAUGAACGACGUCGUUUAGUUGUGGUUAGUUGACUGACUGUGUUCCAUUUGGUAUCCGGGUCCGCCGCACUCAGAGAUUGAUAGUCGACGAGAACCCCGAAAAACAUUUGAACGGAUCGGUGUAAAGGUACCGUCGUUGGAUAGGCCCAAAUCGCCAGUGGACGUUGGCGGAGAUCUCGAAUACUUCUAAAGGUGAGUUCGUUCUGUGCUUCAUCCAUUCUGUCUCGCUAUGUUCAGUUUUCAAUGGACGAAAAGAUAUUUGCAAUUACUAGUAGUUCCAUUAAGAGAUUCGACUACCCAUUUGAGAUUGUUGCACAGCCGUGAACCUCUUACUAUCAUGAAAUCUUUUUCAUCGAUGAUUAAUGAGGCCUCAAUAGCGGGUCAGGAAGAAAAAGAACUGCCAUUUACAGUGUCUUAUCUCGUAAAUUCAUUUGGGUUUUCCUCAGAUACUGCCGUGUCCUUGUCUAAUAGGGUCAAUUUUGAAACAACUGAAAAACCGGAUGCUGUCCUUGAAUUCCUCAGAGACCAAGGAUUCACCAUUGCCCAAAUCUCCAGAUUCGUCAAGCUAAGCCCUAGACUGCUUGUAGCUAAUCCCAAGAAGACCCUUUUACCCAAAAUUGAGUUUUUUCGGUCUGUGGGGAUUUUAGGAGAUGAUCUUGUGGAUGUGACCUGGAGGAUCAUGUGGCUUAGCCUGAAGAAUCAAAUCAUCCCCACUUAUAAAUUCUUGAAGAACUUUCUUAAAGAUGAUGAAAAGGUUCUUAUUGUGUUGAAGCGGGCAGCCUUCUUGCACAAUUUUCCAAAGUUGAUCGCCCCAAAUAUCUCCCGUUUACAGCAACUUGGAGUACCCCAAUCCUCUAUCUCGGUAAUGCUUACCCGUAACCCCACCGUGCUGCGCCAAAAGGCUGAGAGGUUUGAUGAAUGCAUCAAGAUGAUUACUGAAAUGGGAUUUGACCCUUUGCAGAUUAAAUUUGUUGUCGCACUUCGAGUAGUUUCUACACUGAGGCGGGAAUUGUGGGAACACAGAUUGAAAGUUUAUAGGGAGUGGGGCUGGUCUGAAAGUGAGAUCUUGUUGGCUUUUAGACUGCAUCCCCUUUUUAUGACUUUGUCUGAGGUGAAUAUCACAAGAAAAUUGGAUUUUCUUGUAAACAAAUUGGGUUGGGCAUCGGCAGCUGUUGCUAAAGCUUCGUAUGUUUUAACUUAUAAUAUGGAGAAGAGGAUGAUUCCCAGGUGUUCAGUAAUUCAGGCAUUGAUUUUCAAAAGGUUAGUAAACGAAGAACUUGCCUUGUCAAGUAUUUUAUGUAUCACUGACAAGACCUUUCUGGAUAAGUUUGUGAAUAGAUGCCAAGAGCAUGCGCCGUUACUGUUUGAUAUCUUUCAAGGGAAAGUGAAAAUCUUUGAGACCGGAUUUGGAUUUGAAGGAAUAUCGGAGGUUAAACCAUUUUAGCACGAGGCUCAUUGGUUCCUCGACAAUGGUGUUCAAUUCAUCCCAGCUAAUUCAAGAUCCUAGAUUUGUUGACAUAUGACAUAUUUACUUGCUCCAAGUCUUUAUCAAGGCUUUGUUAUGAGUACAUCUCUAAGUUUGUUUUGACUUUCUCUUAUUGGUUUAGACAUCUAGAUGUACAUGAAGGUGAUGGCCUGACAAUGCCAUUGUUGCUUCAGUUAACUCUCUAAAGCUUUCUCUGAAUAUUGUCGCAGCUUCACCAGUGUCUCUAAGGUGACGAGGACCAAGGUGCUGAUGAAGCCGCUGUUGCUCCAGUUAAGGCCUUCUGGGAUUAUUAUGGCAAUUUCACUGGUGACUGGUGUUGCAUUACACUCGGUCGUUGAAAUUCUAAGAGGUCGUGGACUCACCAACGCCCAAACAUAGCUACUCUUAGUUGAUGCAGGGUUUGGGUCAUGGAUAGUAUUGCACUUUCUUCUCAACUAUGAGCAGAGUUUUUCUGCAACCCACUUCCGUCGGCAACUGUUUCUUGCUUACUCUACAUGGCUACUACUUGCCCUUCAUGUGUGGUGAUUGCAAGUUCCAUUGUUAUUGGUAGAAUUUACAUCUAUUGAAGAAAAUCAAGAAACUACAGGUAGAGUUGGCUUCAUAGGUUGAGGAGCUGCCAUGGAGGAUAGAAAAUAGUAAUUGUGUACUUUCCUUGGAGGAAGAGAGUUCCAUUUGUUUGUCAAUGGAGUUUCUUAUGUUUGGUAAAAUUAUUUUCAAGUAAAAUUUAUGACCUUGAAUGCUGGACUAGUAUGAAAAGAUAUACAUAUCCAUUUUGUUUACUGUUUGCUUUUU